This 986-nucleotide ribosomal RNA is filed under the name human oral metagenome. RNAcentral's name for it is "bacterial LSU rRNA". It matches the Rfam family "Bacterial large subunit ribosomal RNA", at positions 1945 to 2925 of the family's 2925-position model. The record is from RNAcentral.
ACCAUCCUAAGGUAGCGAAAUUCCUUGUCGGGUAAGUUCCGACCUGCACGAAUGGAGUAACGACUUCCCUACUGUCUCAACCAUGAACUCGGUGAAAUUGCAGUACGAGUAAAGAUGCUCGUUUCGCGCAGCAGGACGGAAAGACCCCGUGACCUUUACUAUAGUUUGGUAUUGGUGUUUGGUUUGGCUUGUGUAGGAUAGGUGGGAGACUGUGAAGCAUGGACGCUAGUUUGUGUGGAGUCGUUGUUGAAAUACCACUCUGGUCAAUCUGGAUGUCUAACUUCGGGCCAUGAUCUGGUUCAGGGACAGUGCCUGAUGGGUAGUUUAACUGGGGCGGUUGCCUCCUAAAGUGUAACGGAGGCGCCCAAAGGUUCCCUCAGCCUGGUUGGCAAUCAGGUGUUGAGUGUAAGUGCACAAGGGAGCUUGACUGUGAGACUGGCAGGUCGAGCAGGGACGAAAGUCGGGACUAGUGAUCCGGCGGUACGUUGUGGAACGGCCGUCGCUCAACGGAUAAAAGGUACCUCGGGGAUAACAGGCUGAUCUUGCCCAAGAGUCCAUAUCGACGGCAUGGUUUGGCACCUCGAUGUCGGCUCGUCGCAUCCUGGGGCUGGAGUCGGUCCCAAGGGUUGGGCUGUUCGCCCAUUAAAGCGGUACGCGAGCUGGGUUCAGAACGUCGUGAGACAGUUCGGUCCCUAUCCGCUGCGCGCGUUGGAAAUUUGAGAAAGGCUGUCCUUAGUACGAGAGGACCGGGACGGACGAACCUCUGGUAUGUCAGUUGUACCGCCAGGUGCAUGGCUGAUUGGCUACGUUCGGGAGGGAUAACCGCUGAAAGCAUCUAAGCGGGAAGCCUGUUUCGAGAUGAGAUUUCCUGGCACUUUUUGGUGUGUGAGGCUCCUUAUAGAUGAUGAGGUUGAUAGGCCGGGUAUGGAAGCGGGGACUGAAGACUCGUGGAGUUGACUGGUACUAAUAGGCCGAAGGCUUACUUU